Non-coding RNA from Pelobates cultripes (western spadefoot toad), 228 nucleotides. The record is from the annotation of a GenBank genome assembly. Lineage: Eukaryota; Metazoa; Chordata; Amphibia; Anura; Pelobatidae.
AGGAGUUUAAUCAUGCGUGGGAUAGGCAUAAAGCUAUCCUAGAUAGAAGAUAAGGCCAAGGACUAAUGAAAGUAUUUAGAAAACUGGGCAGACUAGAUGGGCCGAAUGGGUUUUAUCUGCCGUCACAUUCUAUGUUUCUAUAACGAUAGAGAUACGGUAUUAUCUCUAAUAACGAUAGAGGGACGCUAUUAUUGUCAGGAUUACAAUUGAUCCAACACGCAGUAUUAG